Molecule: ribosomal RNA, 425 nt
Filed under: uncultured bacterium
Lineage: Bacteria
Description: partial 16S ribosomal RNA
Rfam family: Bacterial small subunit ribosomal RNA
Source: RNAcentral
GUGGGGAAUCUUGCGCAAUGGGCGAAAGCCUGACGCAGCCAUGCCGCGUGGAUGAUGAAGGUCUUAGGAUUGUAAAAUCCUUUCACCGGUGAAGAUAAUGACUGUAGCCGGAGAAGAAGCCCCGGCUAACUUCGUGCCAGCAGCCGCGGUAAUACGAAGGGGGCUAGCGUUGCUCGGAUUUACUGGGCGUAAAGGGCGCGUAGGCGGACAUUUAAGUCAGGGGUGAAAUCCCGGGGCUCAACCUCGGAACUGCCUUUGAUACUGGGUGUCUUGAGUAGGAGAGAGGUGUGUGGAACUCCGAGUGUAGAGGUGAAAUUCGUAGAUAUUCGGAAGAACACCAGUGGCGAAGGCGACACACUGGCUCAUUACUGACGCUGAGGCGCGAAAGCGUGGGGAGCAAACAGGAUUAGAAACCCCAGUAGUCC